RNAcentral lists this ribosomal RNA (117 nucleotides) under uncultured bacterium. RNAcentral's name for it is "partial 16S ribosomal RNA". It matches the Rfam family "Bacterial small subunit ribosomal RNA", at positions 1358 to 1482 of the family's 1533-position model. The record is from RNAcentral.
CGCGGUGAAUACGUUCCCGGGUCUUGUACACACCGCCCGUCAAGCCAUGGAAGCUGGGUGUACCUAAAGUCGGUAACCGCAAGGAGCCGCCUAGGGUAAAACUAGUAACUGGGGGCU